This 152-nucleotide unclassified non-coding RNA is filed under the name uncultured Ascomycota. RNAcentral's name for it is "sequence contains ITS2". Lineage: Eukaryota; Fungi; Ascomycota. The record is from RNAcentral.
AAACCAUCAAGCGCAGCUUGGCAUUGGACCCGGGUCUCGUUAUCACCCGGUCUAAAACCCCGCAUGGCGUUCCCGUUGAGCCUCAAGCGUAGCAAGAAUUACUCACUCGCUUCAGGGCUUCUGGCGGGCGCUGCCACGAAACCGCACCCAAA